ACCACGGUGGUCUAGCGGUCAGAACACUAGCCUUGUAAGCCUGGGGUCCUGGGUUCAAUUCCUGGUGGUGCUC
Zootermopsis nevadensis is the source of this 73-nucleotide non-coding RNA. The record is from Rfam. NCBI's taxonomy places the organism in Eukaryota, Metazoa, Arthropoda, Insecta, Blattodea, Termopsidae.